GCUGAUGCUGCUCAGGCUAAGAAGGCCGUAUCCGAGCUUGCCAAAGUGGAGGUAUGCGGAAAGCGUUGUGGUGCUGCAGCUCUGGAGGGAAAUGACACUAUCUUUCUUGGAAAUAUUGACAAAAAGUGGAAGAAAGAAGAUGUUGCCAAGCUGUUAGAGGAAAGCGGUAUCGAGAAGAUUGACACUUUGACCCUCAUGGCUGAUCCUAAUAAUACAGAGCUCAACCGUGGUUUUGCGUUUCUUGAACUUGAGACCAACAGAGAUGCACAACUUGCUUACAAAAAGCUCCAGAGAAAGGAUGCUUUUGGCAAGGGUCGAAAUGUUAAAGUUUCUUGGGCGGAGCCAU
Molecule: unclassified non-coding RNA, 346 nt
Filed under: Hevea brasiliensis (rubber tree)
Lineage: Eukaryota; Viridiplantae; Streptophyta; Magnoliopsida; Malpighiales; Euphorbiaceae
Source: RNAcentral